Molecule: long non-coding RNA, 1974 nt
Filed under: Homo sapiens (human)
Lineage: Eukaryota; Metazoa; Chordata; Mammalia; Primates; Hominidae
Description: HSALNT0362819
Source: RNAcentral
AAAUUUACCAAAGUGCAUGUUGCUCUGAUAGGGGCUGUUUCCAAACUGAUGUUUCAUCCUACUUAGUGCGUCAAAGUAGAUCCUUUUCAUACAUGUUAUAACAAGUUAGUGUAAGUUGAUUUUAGUGCCAAGAAAAUGUAAGUUCCGUGCUUACUUUUUGUUAUGUUAUGUUUUGUUUUUGAGACAAGGUCUCUCUCUGUCACCCAGGCUGGAGGGCAGUGGCGUGAUCACAGUUUACUGCAGCCUCAACCUCCUGGGCUUAAGCAAUCCUCCCACUUCAGCCUCCCAAGCAACUGGGGCUACAGGUGCGCACAACCAUGCUCAGCUAAUUUUCGUAUUUUUAGUUCAGAUGGGGUUUGGCCAUGUUACCUAGGCUGGUCUUGAACUCCUGGGCUCAAGCAAUCCUCCAGCCUCAGCUUCCCAAAGUGGGCCACCAUACCUGGCCCUGUCAUAGUUUUUUUUUUUUUUUUUUUUUUUUUUGUAUAUAUAACAUGCAUUUUCUGUGAACUUUUUUGAAGCCCUCCAGUAGAAGGAACAGUGGAGGCAAAGUAUGACAAGUGCAGAGCUAGCAUAAUCCUGAAUAGAAAAAGAUUGAAAACCUUUUCUCUAAUAUCAGGAACCAGACAAGAAUGCUACUUUUACCACUUUUUAUUUAGCAUAGUAUAGGAAGUCCCAGCCAGAGCAAUUAGGCAAGAAAAAGAAAUAAAAGAGGUGGUUUGUUGUUGUUGUUGUUUUUUCCCCCAAGAUGGUGAAUUAGAAGUUUCUAGCAUGCCUCAGCCACUUGGUAAUAACAAGAUAGUGAAUAAAGAUAAACUCUGUGAGCUUUAAUUCAAGAAGGAAUGUGGGACUCCACCAGAAUUAUGAAGAACACCCCAGAUCCUGGAGAGAAGAAUGUGGGUGAACAGCCCUUGUUGUGGUGUCCAGCUGAGAAAAGUGAGUAAAGCUUUAGGACAUGAGAGAGGUAGAGAGCUUCCCUCUGUGACUCACUACUCUACUGGGACCAAGCAACGCAGGCUGAGGGAGAGCACUUUAUUUCUCCCAAGCCCUGGAGAUAACUUGGGGAGAAGCUUAGACACAGAGUGAGACACCAAGAAAAGCUACAGUAUUUUUCUCAGACCCAGGACAAAGAGCAGGAUGCCAUUUUUAACAUGGGCGCUUAUAAAGUCAGCCAUUCUUUGGUGACUCAGCAGUAUAGCCACACAGGCAUUUUCAUUUCUGUCCAGAGAUUUAAGAGCCUGCUCUGGAGUGGGUUAGAGGCCUCUACAGCCAGAACUGUGAAAAGUGCCUUAGCAGUAGGCCCUGGAGUUGUGUUCUUCCCCAUUGCAGGCCUGGCUUCGCAGGAGAGCUGUCUCAUCUGCAGUUUUUCUUGGGUGAUGAGAUUUGCAGCCAGGGCCAGCUUGGUGACCUGGUGCUGGUCAGCAUUUGUCAUUCCUUGGUGUCCCAGUCUACUGCCCUGAGAUCAUGGUGCAGUGAGGUCCUCGCCACUCCAUCCCCAGGCAGAAAUCUAGGCAUUCAGAGCCCCUGUGUUGUGGUCAAUACUGAGUGUCAAUUUGAUUGGAUCAGAGGAUAGAAAGUAUUGAUCCUGGGUGUGUCUGUGAGGGUGUUGCCAAAGGAGAUUAACAUUUGAGUCAGUGGGCUGGGAAAUGUAAGAAAGGCAGACCCACCCUUAAUGUGGGUGGGCACCUUCUAACCAGCUGCCAGCAUGGCCAGGGUAAAGCAGCCAGAGAAAAGUGAAGAGGUUAGCCUGGCCUAGCCUCCCAGCCUACAUCUUUCUCCUGUGCUGGACCCUUCCAGUCCUCAAACAAUGGACUCCAGGUUCUUCAGUUUUGGGACUCCGACUGGCUUUUUCUUGCUCCUCAGCUUGCAGAUGGCCUAUUGUGGGACCUUGUGAUAAUGUAAUUAAUACUUAAUAAACUCCUCAUUAUAAAUAUAAAGAACAGGUUAUUAAUUAUAUAGUCAAUAUAUAUAGUAUAG